AAGAAGCAGAAGUUGGAAUUAGCAAGCCCCCAACCAAACUCCACCAGCUGUUCUGCAGACAUGACAGUUAUGCUUCCAAAGUUCACAUAAACAACAGAAUCAGCUUCUUUGGAAUCCAGCCACUGAAGACAUGUUUUUUCCUCUUCCCAAAGACUAUAUCCGAUGCUCUUCAGACCCUCUUUCUCGUCUAAGGGGAUUUGGUUGACGAGCAACUGAUAAGGGCCUAUUGUGUAUACACUGGUGGUGUACAUAGAUGAGAUGACGUCCACAAGUUCUUGUUCCAAGUCAUCGAAGGUAUGAAGUACUUGUGCUGUCCCAUUCUUUGCUCUCUGAGUAGAUUCCAGAAAGAAGUUGAACAUAAUAUCAUUUGGAUCUAUGAUUCUAAUGUGACUUGGAAGAUCCCUCAAACGAAUGUCUCGUAUUCCUGGAAUCCAGUCUAUAAUGGUGUCCAGAUACCCAUUGCUUAGGUAACUCUCAUCUGCAUGAGCAAAAUAGUUAUUGCAUACAUGUAACAUUACAAUAUAGUUAUUACAUGAACAUUUAGUUGUGACAAAAUCAUACCUUUUAAUGGUACAAGACCUCUAUCGCGGGCAUUUUUGAAUUGAUAAAAUCCCAUAAAUCCACAAGCAGCAAUUGUCCAAAGCAAAACGACAGGAAUUCCAAGAGAAUGUGCAGCAUCCGCUGUGAAUGGCAUGAAUCCGUCAGAGAGGAUUGAAGUGACUGGAUGAAUUCCAGCAUUGAGCUUUGCGAGGAGGUCCUCAAAUGCAGGUAACAAGUUGUUCUGUAUGAUAGAAUGGCAAAGUUGAGGUAUAUCUUGAGUGGCAUCAGCAUCAGAUGGAGGGAGGCCGUCAGGGAUGGUUUGGAAACUGAAACCAGGCAGGCUUUCGACAGACUCAAGAGCUCCUGACUUAAGGAAGCGUCUCUGAUUGAACUCCGUAUUCACAAAUGUAAUGAGAGCACCUUUGCUAUGAAGGAGCUUCGCCAUUUUCAGCAUUCCCUUCAUGUGGCUUUGAGCAGGGUAAGGUAUGCAAACUACAUGAGCCUGCUUCUCUGCCGCCUCUGCCUCUGAAUUCAUAGCUUCUCUAUCACGUUUUUUUCUUACUACAAUGAAAACAGCAAGCCCCUUUGGGAGCUUUAUAGUAACGUUUUCUUUAGAGUUAGCUGAAAAAAUUAGAGCAUAUUUAUCACUAUGCAUUGAUUGUUAAGUUCUGAACCUGAUUCGUGAAUUGUAUAUUGUUGGACAGGCAAUUUUGUCCAUGUUGAAUUCGGCAGAACUGAUCAUUCCUGUAAAUGUAAAUAUAUAUAUUUGUUUAUAUUCAAUUUCCUACAGUUUCUUGAAUGCUCAGAGAUAAAACAAAAACAUUGUUGUUCGGGUAUGAACUUUUUCACUCCAGUAAUAUCUUUUAUCAUUCAUGCUUGAACAUUUUCACUCUAAUGAAUUUGAAUUCUUCUUCAAUAAUACAGAAGCAAUUAUUACGAUAGAUUGAUAUCGACCACAAGAUUUGUAAAGAGUAAUGAAUGAUUGUCCAUACAACUGUAAAGAGUAAUGAAUGAUUUGUAACUGUAUCUUUUGGUACCUGGUCCAUAUAACUGUACAAUUAUCUCAUCUUCACUGCAAUAAAAUCAGAAUGGCAAAAUAUAAGGUACCUUAUAAUUCGGGACUAUCUCGUGAGCAUUUGCUACUGUGUCACAAAUUUAUCAAGCUUCCUAGUCAUUCAAAGAAUGAAACAAAAGAGCGGAAGCUGAGAAAGAGAAAGAGCUCGGAUCUCAUGAAAAUCAAACUAAAUUUUCUUUUCUCAGGUGGCGUUUAGUCGACAAGACAAAUAUUCAUAAGAUUCCCCAUACUCAUCAAAUUGCUCUCGUAUUGUUUUGUAGGGAAUCAUUCAGCUAUCACACCAGGAUUCAAGCCCGAAAAGGAGAGGAAGGUCCGGACAUAAGUGGAGUUAUCACUGUCCCCUGGCAUCUCUUCCUAGUUAAAGCAGGUUACUAAAUCUAUUAGAAAACCAAAUAAUAUGCCGUCCCAGUCCUGUUACAUAUUUUUUUUUUCUCCGGAACAGCAGGCCUCAGACGUGACUUUCUAGCAAUUAAAAAGUGGAUGCGUCCAAUUUUCUAUAUACGAAAUUCAAUGGGCGUUCUCAAACUGACAUUACGCUCUCAGCAUUUUUUUUGAGCGUAAUGGUAAGCAAAUCAGGGAAAUUGGUAUCGUGUAAAGUUCAAAAAUCAUGUGCAGAAUUUUAAGUAUAACUCUUUGUCGCAGGAAUAAAUUUUUUGUUAGGUUACAGACUUCACAUAUAAGCAGUUUGAAAAUAUAUGCUCAACUGAAAUCUUGGAGUAUGGCAUGGGAUUUGCUCAGUUCUACACUUCCUUUCUGGCUCUGCCCCUGUGUGGUGGUCAGGCAUCGUGUCAAGUAGAAGAUUGGUUGUUCUUGUUAGGAUCGCAUUUCCGAUAGAUUGAUGUUUAUUGACAAAAAUGAAAGUUAAAAACACAAAUAAUUAACAUGAAAAUCCUGAAAAGAGGGUAAAAUCACAAAUUCAUCCGGUAUGAAUGUAUUAUAAUACUGAGUCGCUCCCUCGGUCCCUCCCUCAACACUCUUGAAUACACGCACCUCAAUUUGCACCUCAAUUUGAUCACAAAUUUUUUUUCUUAUGUAUAUCCGGCACAACUCUAUUAUAAAGUUUUGAAUACAUAAAGUUUCAAUAACAAAUAUAUUUAUAGACACCACAAAUACAAUAAUCCUGAUUUAUUUUAAAUUUUAUUUAUGAUAAUUACCAUUUUAUUUGGAAGGAAAUACUUUCACAAUUAAUAGUUCUACCAAAAAUAAGGCUAUUUUAAUUAUUAUAAAUAAAAUAUCUUCUCAAAUUAGAAUUCUUAAAUUAUUUAGAAAAUCGUGGAGAACCCAAUGGUUUUUGGUUUCAAGGUGAUUGUAGAGAGUUUAACAAGUCUAACAUGAGUGGACGUAGAAGAUUUGUCUCGAAUAUAAAUAGUCAAUUAAUUCUAUUAAUAUACCUACGCAGUACGCUUCAAUUAUAGUGACAAUUGAGUGCCAAUGUAUGUCAAAAGUGAGAAGGUUGAGAAGUUAUUUGAAAAGAAAACUACAUCUAUUGCUAUUGCUGAAGAAGAUCUCAACUUAGUUGAGAAGAAUUCUUGAAACUUCAUGCUACUAUGUUAAAGGAUCAUAAAUUCAAAGCAGCUAGAGCCUCUGUUAGAGGAGGAGCUAGAGAAAGAGAAUGGAAAGAUAGAGAAAAAGGAAGGACUCUGACCGGAAGCCAAAGUACUGAGGCAACUGAACCUAAAAGAUCAACUCAGGACAUUAGGAUUGAAUAAGGUACAAGACAAUCUCAACGAACCUCAAUUCUGAUUAAUUCUCAACUUUCUAUAGUUGUUACCUUUGGAGAUGAAGAAAUUGCUAAAGAAGAAGAAGCCGCAUUCAUUCCAAGAAGAAGAACUCAAAACCUGAUCAGGCAAAUACUGACAAUCAAAAUCCUGACAGAACUCCGCCAUUUACUGACGAAGCUAACUCUGACAAUGCAAAUAUUGAUGCUCCGCCAGAACUGAUAAAAAUGUCAAUCCUGAUAGGAUUUCUAAUAAAGAUAGUGAUAUUUUGAAUGAGCGUAAGAGCGUCUCCAGGAGUCUUCUAGUAGUAUCCAAAAUAUAAUAUAAAAUAUAUGGCUUUUAGUCCUAUAGUGUAAUUUUAAGAGUGACAACUUCAACAAUGCUCUAUAUAUCCUCUCACUAUUGUAUAUUUUAAUGAAUUUUUUAUUGUUAAAAACAACUUAAGAGCCACUACAUGACUCUUAAAAUAUAGGAAAGAAAAGAAGCUCUUAAGCUUUUUAAGAGCCACUAAGAGUCUCUUGGAGCUCAAUUUUUAAUGAUCCUCUCUAUAUCCUGUGUUAGGAGCUUAUUUAAGAGUCUAUUGGAGAUGCUCUUUUGAGUUUCAUAAUGAUGAAAUUGACGAGGAAGAAGAAAAGAUAGAUCAAAUUGAUGAGGAAGAGAAAAGGAUUGCUCAAACUGUCAGAUGAAUGAAAGUGCAUAUGUCAAAGGUCUAAAGCAAUCAAGUUUAGCAAAUUGGUUUAAUCCUAAAGAUAAGAUUUAUAAGCUUUAUUUGAGCUAUGAACCAACCAAGAGAAGGAUAAGAAAUGAAAAUCUAUUAUUAAUUUGUAUUGCAGAGCACAAAUAUUCUAUAUAAUAAUAAUAAGAAAUACAAACAAGAAGGUUCUUAUUCCUUUAAAAUUUUAAAUUAUUUAUUAUAUAUUUAAAGAAUCUCGUUUGGAAAUACGAGGUGAUGAGCCCCUCAAUUUCAGUUUCUAUCCCUCCUAUUUUGAUGCCACCUUGAUUUAAUCUGCGAUGUACAUGUACUCUAAACGGUUCAUUUCACUAUUUAAACAUGCACAUUCAAACAAAUUUUAUAAUAAACAAACUUUUCUGUAUGCAAUUAGAUUUUUGAUUUCGAAACAAUGUUAUAUUUUCAUCUAUAAAAUACUAUUCGAUUAGUAAUUUUGAGGAGUCGUCAAUAGGGUUCAUGUCAUAACGGCACGGGCAUGCCAGACUGGGCAUGCCCUAGGCAUGCCUUUUGUCCAUUUGACAUGCUUUUUUACUAAUUUUUUAUAUAAAUAAUAAAAUUUAUAUAAAUAUUAUAUCUUAUAAAUAUUGAAAAUUUUAAAUAUAGUCCAACUUCAUAGUUAAAUAUUAGAUAAACUACUAAUAUAAGUUAGUAUCGUACUAAGUUCUGUUCUUAAUAUUUACUAACUUUUGUUAUAUUUGUAAGUGCACUUUAGUAUCAAUCCUAUAAUGAUGCGGCAGUUUUUACUAUAUUUAAUGGAAAAUGGCAUGCCAUUUGGGCAUGCCAUUUUGUAAAAUACAUGCCUAUAGGCAUGCCAGUGAGAACUGCCGUGAUAUGUACCCUAGUCGUCAAGCAGGGGGCCUCUUGCUAUCACGAAUUCAUCUCAACCACCUCAAUCCUCAUGGACUACUACGCCUGACAAUUUAUAUAUUAUUAAUCCUUUACUCUAUGUAAUCAGUAUUUCAGAGGUCAGACAAUUGUGGUAGUGGGUAUGGGUCACUCAUCAAUCUACCAUUUUCUAAUUUUCAUGAACAUAGACUGGGUUCUGCUGGCGGGUGUUGGCCCCUAUAUUAUUAAUAUCCUCGAUAUCACGGAUCCAGAAAAAUAUCCUAAAAAACUACAUUUUCCAGCUUCUAGCGUUCUGUUAGAAUUAAAGAACAUAUUGGGAAAAUUAAAUUACAGGUCUCUGAACUAUUGACAUUUUAUUGUUUAGGUCCCUGAACUAAAGAUUUUGUAUUUCAGGUCACUUAAUUUUUCUGUUUUCUAAUCUAAGUCCUACCGUUAAAAAGAUUCUAACGGUGUUAACUAGAGUUCUUGAGUUUCAUACAGAUCAAAGCAAUUUUGAAAGUGUUAAUGACAUCCAAAUUCAAAGUUCAAGUAGUCAAAUUGAAGCUUUAGUCGCUAGCGGCACUCGUAUGACACCAAUUUUCACAAACUAUGUUCAAUUCAAAAUUUUCUAAAUUCAGGUCCUUAAAUUCGCUAAAGAACCCUAAAUUUAUGGUCCAAUAUGGGGUUUUUUAAAAUUAAAUCUAUUUUGUGAAAUUUGUUGUCAUAUGAGUGUUGCUAGUGAUUCAAACUUCAAUUUGACUACUUGAAUUUUGAGUUUGGAUAUCAUUAACACCUUCAAAAUUUCUUUGAUCUAUAUGAAAAUCAAGAACCCUAGUUAACACCGUUAGAAUCUUUUUGACGGAAGGACUAAGAUCAGAAAACGAAAAAGUUAAGUGACCUAAAUUACAAAAUCUUUAGUUCAGGGAUCUACACAAUUAAACGUCAAUAGUUCGAGGACCUAUAAUUUAAUUUGCCCAAACUAAUUUAUGUAUCAUUUUCUUAUGAUUAAAAGAACAUAACGCUAGUUUUUGUAGAAUUCUAUAAGAUUAAAAGAACCAGACGCUACAUCGUGUGAUGAUUUGUCGGGAAUAAAAUAACAAUACGCUACAUGAUGUAACGAUUUUUAACGAUUUUUUUUUCCCCAAAUUGAAAACGUUGACGUUAAUAACUGAUAUUUAAAACCAUUUUUUCAAUCUGUUGUUAUUCUGGCAUUAGUUCUCCAUUUUGUGAGAUCUGGGACCAUUUAUCUUCAGCGGCCCCGCCCUUCCAUCUGUCUUCUUUAAUAUUGAGUUUUCAUUUUUUAAGAACAAGACAAUAUAAAACAUAUAAAUUUAUAUAUUUUCAUAAAAUGAUAAUUAGUUUUCUAAAUCAAAAAUAUUAAAUGCUGUCUAAAUAUUUAAAUAAAUGAAAUACCAUGUUAGUGCAAAAAUUUCAAUCGAAAUAAGUCUUUAUAUUUUAAUAAACAAGUUUACCCUAAUAUGCCCAUUAUUUUGGGAUCAUAUUUGUUGGUUAAAGUAAAUAUGAUGAUUACAAGUGAUUAGUAAACUUCACUUAUAAAUUAUUAUAAAUUAUCAAAAGUGUUUGAAUCAUUUUAUAUAUAAGUCUAUUGUGUGUUUGGUAAUUUAAAUUUAUAAAUUAAAAAAAAAAUAUUAAAUUACAAGAAACUUUAUUAACAAAAUUUUUCACACAUUAAAAACUUUAAUAUUUAUAUUUCUUCCGUCCCUCUCAUUUCUUUACAGUUUUUUUUAACUGCUCGACACGCAUUUUAAGAUUCUUAUAAAACAUAGUUUUGUAAUUUACUUUUGAGAUUUUCUUUUUGUGUAUAAAAGUUCAAACAUCAAAUAUUUAUUAAAAAAAAGAUUAAAAAAUAAGUUGCGGAACUAUAUUUUCUAAGAGCAUUAGAAUGCGCGCCAAACCCUUGUCCCCAAGGUAAGCUACCUAGGGGAACAGAGGGAGUAACAGAAUGCGAAUCACUAAAAAUUCAAAAAAGACUGGCAUUUCUGACUUCUGACUUCAAAAACAUAAAAUAAGCCCUUCUACUUUUUUUUUCUCCAAACAAUACCUAACAAGCGAAACAACUUAAAAUACUAAAAGAAGUGUUUACUAUUUUGCCUUUGUAUAGCAUGAAGUUACAAAUAAAUUUUUAGGUGGUGUUUGACGGCGGCUCUUAAGUCUGACUUCAGUAUUUAUAAUUUAGAAGCACUUAUUCGUAUCGUCUGUGUAAAAAGUUAUGGAGUCCUUAUAAAAGUUGAGUUUUAUAAGAAUCCUAAUUUUUGUUUAAUGACUUCCACUUCUUUCCCAAACACUUUAAUCACUUAUAAGUGUUAACUUGUUUCUAACUUUUUUUCACUUCUUUACUUUAAACAAAAAAUUAUUUAUUUAAUUUCACCCAAAGCCCCCUUAAUAUUAUUUUUAUAAAUUGUAUUUAUGAUGUAAAUUACACUAUGAAGCAAUAAUAAAAUUAAUUUCUGAAAAACAAAUAACAAAUUUUACAGAAACGAACAAAUAUAAUGAGACAAAGUGAGUAUCUUUUAAGAUACGAAAAUAUUGAACAUGACAGCUUAUUAUAUUGCUGAUAUAUAAAGACAGUGAGUGGAGUGGGAUGACUUCCUACCUUUCAUCGAACAUGCCAAUAAUUUAAAACAACCACGACAUUAUCAGGGUGCUAAUCAUACAAUUAUAUGAAGAAGAAGAAACUAAUCAUGGUGCUCUGCUCUCAUGCAACUAUGAACAUAAAAUUAGUCAAGCCUAAUGUUCAAAAUUAUGUGCAACUUAAUAUAAAUAGACAUUUUGCAUGUGAGAAAAUAUUUCACUAAAACUGAUCCAUGAAGUUUUAUUGCACACAAAUUUAGAAGUGGUGAUAUUAUCUGAAGAAACAGAACCUUAUUCAUAUAGAGAAAUGGAAGUUUAUGGCUUCAUCUAGUACAUUUUAGUUCUUGAGAAGAAGAACCAGUUUGUCCAAAUUAAGAGAAGAUGAGCCAUUAGGUGCACAGGCCUGCUCAGCCAUUUCCUUCAACUUGAUAGCCUUGUUUCUCAUUCUCUUGCCCUCAAUUCCAUCCAUCAAUUGUCGAACAAGUUUCUCCACAUCGUCUCUUCUGACGUCGUUAGGAAUCUCCAGUCCGCACUCCCAUAUGUCACGCAAGAACUUGCAGUUUAUUUGUUGAUCUGCAAAGAAAGGCCAACAGAGCAUUGGCACUCCCGCGGAUAUGCUCUCUAUAAUUGAGUUCCACCCUCCAUGCGUCAAGAAGCCUCCCACAGACGCGUGGUUGAGGACAUCUUCCUGUGGACACCAACUUGCUAUGAAGCCUCUGCCCUUGAUGGCAUCCAUAAAUUCAACUCCCAAUGUAUUACUAUUUGUCGAUUCACCCACGAUCAGGUCGGGCCUGAUUAUCCACAAGAAGCAGAAGUUGCUAUUGGCAAGCCCCCAGCCAAACUCCUUAAGCUGCUCUGCAGACAGGACUGUUAUGCUUCCAAAGUUGACAUAAACAACAGAAUCAGCUUCUUUAGAAUCCAGCCACUGAAGACAUGUUUUUUCCUCUUCCCAAAGAUUAUAUCCAAUGCUCUGCAGACCCUCUUUCUGAUCUAAUGGUAUUUGGUUGAGGAGCAUCUGUUGAGGGCCUAUUGUGUAUACUUUGGG
Molecule: long non-coding RNA, 8525 nt
Filed under: Daucus carota (carrot)
Lineage: Eukaryota; Viridiplantae; Streptophyta; Magnoliopsida; Apiales; Apiaceae
Description: long non-coding RNA (DCAR_LNC005659)
Source: RNAcentral